Long non-coding RNA from Xiphophorus hellerii (green swordtail), 1313 nucleotides. RefSeq lists it as uncharacterized. The transcript has 3 exons. The record is from RefSeq and is a predicted model, not a curated record. Lineage: Eukaryota; Metazoa; Chordata; Actinopteri; Cyprinodontiformes; Poeciliidae.
AAGUGUGACCAGUUUUAUGACCAAAUCUCAGGUCAGAAUCCUGGGAAAGGAGCCCGACUGUACUGUCAAAACACGUCCGCAGACCUGGUGGUCGUUGACGACGUCAGAGAUCAGAGUCCUGCCAGUAACCAUGAGAUGAAUUUCUGCUCGUUGGGCGAAACCGACAACAACUGGCUCUGGAUCGAUGGGCGUAAUGAAAGUCUUGGGUUCUGGAUGAGCGGAGUGGUUUGGUAUUCUGGUCCGUAUGCCACGGUGAUAACAUGGUGGAAAUCCUCAGCGACUUUAUUCACUCCAACAUCUCUGUUUGGAAACGUCUUCAGCUGUUAGACUGAAACUCAGCAGAAGCUUCACAUGAUGCCUGCUGUUGCUGCAUGCAGAAAUAUAACUUUAUUUUAAUUACACAAGUACUUUUCCUCAUGUCUGAGUUAGUUUUCAUCUUGAUUCAUGUUUUAAUAUUUUAGAAAGUAUUUCUAGAAUCAUAUAUUCUGAUGUUAAUAAUAAUCUGAAAUAAUCAGACACAAAUCACGGCUUUGUUUCUAUACAUAUUAAAAUAUAUUGUGAUGUUUGACAUUUUAUUUUGAAAGUUCUGCCUUUUGUUCUGUUUUCUUUUCACUUUAUUUAGUGUAACUUCUGUUUCUUUAACUCAUUUUAAAGCUUUUGUUUUCCAUCUACCAGGUAAUUGAUUAUAAAUAGAUUUUCAGACAAACUGGAUCAAAACUUUAAUGUUUUCUGCUCCUGCUUAAGACAUCAAUUAGUAAUUUAAUAUGUUUAAUAAAAGUUUAUUUUCUGGUUAUAAAACCAAAUCAUAGACAAUCUGUUCAACUCAACAUGAUCAAAAAUGACUUUUAUCUUUAUCUUAAUAUUUGGUGAAAGCAGAAAUAAAGCCUUAUAUUCAGAGAGAAUAAAUAUUUAAUGUUUCAAAACAUUGUCAAUUUUCUCUGCUUUAAUUUAAGACUCAUUAUAGACAAAUAAGGGUGCUACUAUUAAUGAGCGAUUCCUGCUCAUCCCGCCUCAGAACAGUUUGGUUCUGUGGAUAUAAACUAUCAUGCACUCACACCUGAGGAGAAAUUAAAGAGACAAAUUAACCGAACAAUGAUGUUGGACUGUGGGAGGAAGCCGGAGUACCCGGAGAGAACCCACACAUGCACAGGGAGAACAUGCAAACUCCAAAGUUUUUCCAGAUUUUUCCAAAAAGUUGCACCAUUUGGAACAACCACAGAAAAACAGGACCUGUCACCAGAUACCUGAGCCUUUGUAUAGACAUUACCUGCUGUAUUUGUUUCACACGUUUUAAAUUUGAUUUGUAAAAGUUU